UACGUAGGGGGCAAGCGUUGUCCGGAGUUACUGGGCGUAAAGGGCCCGCAGGCGGUCACGCAAGUUUGUACUGACAAUCCCUUGCUUAACGAGGGAGGGCGUAUGAAAACUGCGCGACUUGAGGAUGAGAGAGGGACAGGGAAUUCCGGGUGGAGUGGUGAAAUGCGUAGAUAUCCGGAGGAACCCCGAAGGCGAAGGCACUGUCCUGGCUCAUUCCUGACGCUCAGGGGCGAAAGCCAGGGGAGCGAACGGG
RNAcentral lists this ribosomal RNA (253 nucleotides) under uncultured prokaryote. RNAcentral describes it as "partial 16S ribosomal RNA". It matches the Rfam family "Bacterial small subunit ribosomal RNA", at positions 524 to 776 of the family's 1533-position model. The record is from RNAcentral.